UAUCUCUGUAGAGUCUGCAUAUCAAUAAGCGGAGGAAAAGAAACUAACUAGGAUUCCCUUAGUAACGGCGAGUGAAGCGGGAAGAGCUCAAAUUUGAAAUCUUCAAGGUUUUACCUUGACGAAUUGUAGUUUAAAGAAGUGUUUUCUGUUGGAGUUUUGGUAAAAGUUCUUUGGAAUAGGACAUCAUAGAGGGUGAGAAUCCCGUAUUUGACCAUUAUUUCCAGCUUUGUGAUACACUUUCAAAGAGUCGGAUUGUUUGGGAAUGCAGUCCAAAAUGGGUGGUAAAUUUCAUCUAAAGCUAAAUAUUGGCGAGAGACCGAUAGCGAACAAGUACCGUGAGGGAAAGAUGAAAAGAACUUUGAAAAGAGAGUUAAACAGUACGUGAAAUUGUCAAAAGGGAAGCGUUUGACACCAGUGUUGUUUUCUCGAAGAUCAAUUAAAAAAGGCAGGAUUUUGUGUUGUAUUGACUUUAUCAGCUUUCUGCACUCUUUUCUUGUCUUUUUUAAUGCACUUUUCGUUUAACAAGUCAACAUCAAUUUCUUUUGUUGUAAAAGGGUCAUUGGAAGGUGGCUUUCUUUUCGGAGAAAGUGUUUAUAGCCUUUGGCCUCUGCAAUCGGGGAGAUUGAGGUCUGCAGCGUAGAUCCUUCGGGGUUAGAUACAUUUGUGCUAAGUUAUAGCCUUUCAUAGACAACUUGUUGACUAUGAUCAGUCAUGUAGCUUACUCGCUUAUGCUAUUUUACCUACGCUUAGGAUGUUGAAGAUGUAGCACAUCAU
This 774-nucleotide ribosomal RNA is filed under the name uncultured Neocallimastigales. RNAcentral describes it as "partial large subunit ribosomal RNA". It matches the Rfam family "Eukaryotic large subunit ribosomal RNA", at positions 24 to 635 of the family's 3401-position model. Lineage: Eukaryota; Fungi; Neocallimastigomycota; Neocallimastigomycetes; Neocallimastigales. The record is from RNAcentral.